GGCCGGAAGCCUAAACAUGCAAGUCGAACGGACCCUUCGGGGUUAGUGGCUUUACGGGUGAGUAAACCCCUUUAACGUGCCUUUAGGUUCGGAAUACUUCCUGGAAACGGGUGGUAAUGCCGAAUGUGCCCUUCGGGGGAAAGAUUUAUCCCCUUUAUAGCGGGCCGCGUCUGAUUAGCUAUUUGGUGAGGUAACGGCUCACCAAGGCGACUAUCUAUAUCUGGUCUGAAAGGAUGACCAGCCACACUGGGACUGAGACACCGCCCAGACUCCUCCCGGAGGCAGCAAUGGGGAAUCUUGCGCAAUGGGUAAAAGCCUGACGCAUCCAUGCCACGGGAAUGAUGAAGGUCUUAGGAUUGUAAAAUUCUUUCACCGGAGACCAUAAUGACGGUACCCGGAAAAGAAGCCCCGGCUAACUUCGUGCCAACAGCCGCGGUAAUCUGAAUGUGGCUAGCGUUGCUCGAAAUUACUGGUCGUAAAGGGCGCCUACGCGGAUCGUUAAGUCCGAAGUGAUAUCCCAGGGCUCAGCCUGGAACUGCCUUUGAUACUGGCGAUCUUGAGUAUGAUAAAAGGCUGUGGAUACUCCCAAUUGUAGAGGUGAAUUCCUAAAUAUUCCGGAAACACCACCUACUGAGCGGAAGGGAGACAUACUGGUUCCUUUACUGACGCCUAAAGGCUCGCAAUG
RNAcentral lists this ribosomal RNA (685 nucleotides) under Brevundimonas diminuta. RNAcentral's name for it is "bacterial SSU rRNA". It matches the Rfam family "Bacterial small subunit ribosomal RNA", at positions 41 to 760 of the family's 1533-position model. Lineage: Bacteria; Pseudomonadati; Pseudomonadota; Alphaproteobacteria; Caulobacterales; Caulobacteraceae. The record is from RNAcentral.